AGAGAACGCUGGCGGCGUGCUUAACACAUGCAAGUCGAACGAGAACGGAUUAUAGCUUGCUAUAAUUGUCAGCUAAGUGGCGCACGGGUGAGUAAUGUAUAGGUAAUAUGCCUCUUACUAAGGGAUAACAAUUGGAAACGAUUGCUAAUACCUUAUAUUCCUUUUUAUCAAAAGAUAAAAAGGGAAAGAUUUAUUGGUAAGAGAUUAGCCUGUAUUGUAUCAGUUAGUUGGUGGGGUAAUGGCCUACCAAGACGAUGACGCAUAACUGGUUUGAGAGGAUGAUCAGUCACACUGGAACUGAGACACGGUCCAGACUCCUACGGGAGGCAGCAGUGGGGAAUAUUGCACAAUGGACGAAAGUCCGAUGCAGCAACGCCGCGUGGAGGAUGACACAUUUCGGUGCGUAAACUCCUUUUAUAUAAGAAGAUAAUGACGGUAUUAUAUGAAUAAGCACCGGCUAACUCCGUGCCAGCCGCCGCAGUAA
This 484-nucleotide ribosomal RNA is filed under the name uncultured bacterium. RNAcentral describes it as "partial 16S ribosomal RNA". It matches the Rfam family "Bacterial small subunit ribosomal RNA", at positions 31 to 523 of the family's 1533-position model. The record is from RNAcentral.